CCUCAAAUCAGGUAGGACUACCCGCUGAACUUAAGCAUAUCAAUA
Molecule: ribosomal RNA, 45 nt
Filed under: Mrakia psychrophila
Lineage: Eukaryota; Fungi; Basidiomycota; Tremellomycetes; Cystofilobasidiales; Mrakiaceae
Also listed under: 3 other names
Description: partial 26S ribosomal RNA
Source: RNAcentral